This 335-nucleotide unclassified non-coding RNA is filed under the name Holwaya sp. Its description in RNAcentral is "partial contains 5.8S ribosomal RNA, internal transcribed spacer 2, and large subunit ribosomal RNA". Lineage: Eukaryota; Fungi; Ascomycota; Leotiomycetes; Thelebolales; Holwayaceae. The record is from RNAcentral.
AACGCAUAUUGCGCUCUUUGGUAUUCCGAAGAGCAUGCUUGUUUGAGUAUCAGUAAACACCUCAACCUCCUCUUGUUUUUUCAAAAGGAGGGUGGACUUGAGCUAUCCCAACAAUCCUUCGACAGAGUAGGAGGGUCGCUUGAAAUGCAGGUGCAGCUGGACAUUCUUCUGAGCUAAAAGCAUAUCUAUUUAGUCCCGUCAAACGGAUUAUUACUUUUGCUUCAGCUAAUACAAAGGUCGAAUGAACUACCAACGCUGAUUGCAGGAAAACUCGUUUUUUUACUAAAACUUGUAAACUCGAUCUCAAAUCAAGUAAGACUACCCGCUGAACUUAA